GGUCGUGUGGCCUAAUGGAUAAGGCGUCGGACUUCUAUGAAAGUAAUUAUCCGAAAAUUGCGGGUUCGAGUCCCGCCACGAUUA
This is a non-coding RNA of Daphnia pulex (common water flea), 84 nucleotides long. NCBI's taxonomy places the organism in Eukaryota, Metazoa, Arthropoda, Branchiopoda, Diplostraca, Daphniidae. The record is from Rfam.